CAGAACAUAGCUUAAAUAAAGCAUUUUGCUUACACCAAAAAAAUAUCCAUCAAAGGAUUGCUCUG
This 65-nucleotide transfer RNA is filed under the name Pseudoeurycea werleri (Werler's false brook salamander). RNAcentral's name for it is "tRNA-Val". Lineage: Eukaryota; Metazoa; Chordata; Amphibia; Caudata; Plethodontidae. The record is from RNAcentral.